RNAcentral lists this ribosomal RNA (247 nucleotides) under uncultured bacterium. Its description in RNAcentral is "partial 16S ribosomal RNA". It matches the Rfam family "Bacterial small subunit ribosomal RNA", at positions 1254 to 1500 of the family's 1533-position model. The record is from RNAcentral.
GCCGCGAGGUAGAGCAAAUCUCAAAAAAACAAUCUCAGUUCAGACUGCAGGCUGCAACUCGCCUGCACGAAGUCGGAAUUGCUAGUAAUCGUAGGUCAGCAUACUACGGUGAAUACGUUCCCGGGCCUUGUACACACCGCCCGUCAAACCAUGAGAGUUGGCAACACCCGAAGUCGGUAGUCUAACCGCAAGGAGGACGCCGCCGAAGGUGGGGUUGAUGAUUAGGGUUAAGUCGUAACAAGGUAAC